AGGACGAACGCUGGCGGCGUGCUUAACACAUGCAAGUCGAACGAUGAAAGAGAGCUUGCUCUCUGGAUUAGUGGCGAACGGGUGAGUAACACGUGAGUAACCUGCCCUUGACUCUGGGAUAAGCACUGGAAACGGUGUCUAAUACCGGAUACGAGCUUCAGCCGCAUGGCUAGGAGCUAGGAAAGUAAUUUUUGGACAAGGAUGGACUCGCGGCCUAUCGAGGUAGUUGGUGAGGUAACGGCACACCAAGCCGACGACGGGUAGCCGGCUGAGGAGGGUCGACCGGCCACGACGUGGACUGACGACACGGCCCAGACUCCGUACGGGAGCAGCAGGUAGGGAAUUGUGACAACGAAGUGGGACGAACGCCGUGA
This 374-nucleotide ribosomal RNA is filed under the name uncultured soil bacterium. RNAcentral's name for it is "bacterial SSU rRNA". It matches the Rfam family "Bacterial small subunit ribosomal RNA", at positions 26 to 402 of the family's 1533-position model. The record is from RNAcentral.